RNAcentral lists this small RNA (740 nucleotides) under Pan troglodytes (chimpanzee). RNAcentral's name for it is "retained intron". The record is from RNAcentral. Lineage: Eukaryota; Metazoa; Chordata; Mammalia; Primates; Hominidae.
UUAAAAGAAUAUUGGCAGAAAAACAGCCCUAGAGUUCCAGCAGGAGCGAACAGGAACAGGAAAACAAAUGGCAGUAUCCCUGAGACAGCCACUUCUGGUGGUUGCCAGUCACCUGGGGAUUCAGCAACAGGUUUCCACAGGGAAGGCCCUACAUCAUCUGCUACCCUGAAAGAUCUGGAGAGCCCGUGCCAAGAACGAGCAGUAGUCCUGGAUUCAACGUCCGUAAAAAUCAGUCGACUGAAGAACACCAUCAAAUCUUUGAAACAACAGAAGAAACAAGUGGAACAUCAGCUGGAAGAAGUAACGUGAUUUCGUUUCCUCGCGACAUGACUGCUGGGUUUGGGGGGCACUCAGACAUAGAGGCCCCAGUCUCGUCUCACCCACUCCCAGCCUGGGGAAGAAGGCUCACCCUCAGAUUCCACCCCAUCCCCACAGGGCCCCUGAUAACCUGGUCCCAUGGGUGGGCCUGUCCUGGGGCAUUGGUGGCAUUCUGGGGGCAUGUCUCUUGCUGUGCCAUCUCUGCCUCCCCCUGGUAAGAGCUCUGUCUUCCUCUUCCUACAGGAAAAGAAAGCAAACAACGAGAGACAGAAAGCUGAAAGGGAGCUAGAGGUUCAAAUCCAGACAUUGAUCAUACAGAAAGAGGAACUAAAUACGGACCUGUGCCACAUGGAACGUUCUCUCAGAUACUUUGAAGAAGAGUCCAAGGACCUGGCUGUCCGCCUGCAAUAUUCAUUGCAGUG